RNAcentral lists this ribosomal RNA (274 nucleotides) under uncultured Eubacteriales bacterium. RNAcentral's name for it is "uncultured Clostridiales bacterium partial 16S ribosomal RNA". It matches the Rfam family "Bacterial small subunit ribosomal RNA", at positions 72 to 339 of the family's 1533-position model. The record is from RNAcentral. Lineage: Bacteria; Bacillati; Bacillota; Clostridia; Eubacteriales.
AUUUCUUCGGAAUGAAUUUGAUUAAGUUUAGUGGCGGACGGGUGAGUAACGCGUGAGUAACCUGCCUCUAAGAGGGGAAUAACAUUCUGAAAAGAAUGCUAAUACCGCAUAACAUAUAUUUAUCGCAUGGUAGAUAUAUCAAAGAUUUAUCGCUUAGAGAUGGACUCGCGUCCGAUUAGUUAGUUGGUGAGGUAACGGCUCACCAAGACCGCGAUCGGUAGCCGGACUGAGAGGUUGAACGGCCACAUUGGGACUGAGACACGGCCCAGACUCC